Molecule: long non-coding RNA, 616 nt
Filed under: Sarcophilus harrisii (Tasmanian devil)
Lineage: Eukaryota; Metazoa; Chordata; Mammalia; Dasyuromorphia; Dasyuridae
Description: lncRNA (ENSSHAG00000027617.1)
Source: RNAcentral
GUACCAGGGAAGUGUCUUCUUGUUAACCAGCUCCAGAGUGUGUGGUUCACUAUUUGUCAGAAAUAGUGCGAAAACUUUGAUCCUGGCUUGUAUUGGUGGUGGGGUGGUUAAGGAGGGACUUUAUGUCAUGUUCACUUGCCUAGGGGUCUGUUGAUUUGUCAGAGUGUGGGGCCUACCUAGUAUUGGAGACUUGGAGACUUGCUAUGUACUCCUUCUUUGAGGCUGGAUACUGCUGAUCUUGGACCUUGCUUCCCUUCCACCCAAGUAAGAAAGAUCUUUCCUACAAUUCUGAUGCAGAAAAUAUACCCGAAAGAUGUUAAGUCAUUUCCCCAAUCCACACAGGAAUUAAGUGACAAAGGUUUAGGUAACAGUGCCAUAUUUACAUCAAAGAAGAAAUUUGACAUGACCCCUUCAUCCAAAGCACCUCUGGGAUAUCUUAUUGUGGCCAGCUACCAAUUCAUAUGUUGCUCAGGUAAAUAAAUUGAUGUUCCCCGAAAAUUAAUUUACUUUCACAAGAUCACAUUGGUAAAAAGAAUCAAAACAAUCAAAAAUAAUUUAAAUUCUUAUUUUCUGAAUCCUAAACCACUGUUCUUUUUUUCUUUCUACCACAUUUAUG